Molecule: ribosomal RNA, 1767 nt
Filed under: Salmonella enterica subsp. enterica serovar Newport
Lineage: Bacteria; Pseudomonadati; Pseudomonadota; Gammaproteobacteria; Enterobacterales; Enterobacteriaceae
Description: partial 23S ribosomal RNA
Rfam family: Bacterial large subunit ribosomal RNA
Source: RNAcentral
CUGGCAGUCAGAGGCGAUGAAGGACGUGCUAAUCUGCGAUAAGCGCCGGUAAGGUGAUAUGAACCGUUAUAACCGGCGAUUUCCGAAUGGGGAAACCCAGUGUGAUUCGUCACACUAUCAUUAACUGAAUCCAUAGGUUAAUGAGGCGAACCGGGGGAACUGAAACAUCUAAGUACCCCGAGGAAAAGAAAUCAACCGAGAUUCCCCCAGUAGCGGCGAGCGAACGGGGAGGAGCCCAGAGCCUGAAUCAGCAUGUGUGUUAGUGGAAGCGUCUGGAAAGGCGCGCGAUACAGGGUGACAGCCCCGUACACAAAAGCGCAUGUGCUGUGAGCUCGAUGAGUAGGGCGGGACACGUGGUAUCCUGUCUGAAUAUGGGGGGACCAUCCUCCAAGGCUAAAUACUCCUGACUGACCGAUAGUGAACCAGUACCGUGAGGGAAAGGCGAAAAGAACCCCGGCGAGGGGAGUGAAAAAGAACCUGAAACCGUGUACGUACAAGCAGUGGGAGCACAGGUUUACCUGUGUGACUGCGUACCUUUUGUAUAAUGGGUCAGCGACUUAUAUUCUGUAGCAAGGUUAACCGAAUAGGGGAGCCGGAGGGAAACCGAGUCUUAAUUGGGCGUUAAGUUGCAGGGUAUAGACCCGAAACCCGGUGAUCUAGCCAUGGGCAGGUUGAAGGUUGGGUAACACUAACUGGAGGACCGAACCGACUAAUGUUGAAAAAUUAGCGGAUGACCUGUGGCUGGGGGUGAAAGGCCAAUCAAACCGGGAGAUAGCUGGUUCUCCCCGAAAGCUAUUUAGGUAGCGCCUCGUGAAUUCAUCUCCGGGGGUAGAGCACUGUUUCGGCUAGGGGGCCAUCCCGGCUUACCAACCCGAUGCAAACUGCGAAUACCGGAGAAUGUUAUCACGGGAGACACACGGCGGGUGCUAACGUCCGUCGUGAAGAGGGAAACAACCCAGACCGCCAGCUAAGGUCCCAAAGUCAUGGUUAAGUGGGAAACGAUGUGGGAAGGCCCAGACAGCCAGGAUGUUGGCUUAGAAGCAGCCAUCAUUUAAAGAAAGCGUAAUAGCUCACUGGUCGAGUCGGCCUGCGCGGAAGAUGUAACGGGGCUAAACCAUGCACCGAAGCUGCGGCAGCGAACGUAUCACUUAAAGCGAUUCAGCGGGUUACGAUUGACGGAGCGAAGCGACGUCAAAGCGUAUACAAAGUCGAGUCGGUUUAAGGAUACGUUCGUUGGGUAGGGGAGCGUUCUGUAAGCCUGUGAAGGUGGCCUGUGAGGGUUGCUGGAGGUAUCAGAAGUGCGAAUGCUGACAUAAGUAACGAUAAAGCGGGUGAAAAGCCCGCUCGCCGGAAGACCAAGGGUUCCUGUCCAACGUUAAUCGGGGCAGGGUGAGUCGACCCCUAAGGCGAGGCCGAAAGGCGUAGUCGAUGGGAAACGGGUUAAUAUUCCCGUACUUGGUGUUACUGCGAAGGGGGGACGGAGAAGGCUAUGUUGGCCGGGCGACGGUUGUCCCGGUUUAAGCGUGUAGGUGUGUGUUCCAGGUAAAUCCGGUUCACUUUAACACUGAGGCGUGACGACGAGGCACUACGGUGCUGAAGCAACAAAUGCCCUGCUUCCAGGAAAAGCCUCUAAGCAUCAGGUAACAUCAAAUCGUACCCCAAACCGACACAGGUGGUCAGGUAGAGAAUACCAAGGCGCUUGAGAGAACUCGGGUGAAGGAACUAGGCAAAAUGGUGCCGUAACUUCGGGAGAAGGCACGCUGACAC